CCUACGGGAGGCAGCAGUGGGGAAUAUUGGACAAUGGGCGAAAGCCUGAUCCAGCAAUGCCGCGUGAGUGAUGAAGGCCUUAGGGUUGUAAAGCUCUUUUACCAGGGAUGAUAAUGACAGUACCUGGAGAAUAAGCUCCGGCUAACCCCGUGCCAGCAGCCGCGGUAAUACGGAGGGAGCUAGCGUUGUUCGGAAUUACUGGGCGUAAAGAGUACGUAGGCGGUUAUUCAAGUCAGAGGUGAAAGCCCGGGGCUCAACCCCGGAACUGCCUUUGAAACUAGAUAGCUAGAGUCUUGGAGAGGUUAGUGGAAUUCCGAGUGUAGAGGUGAAAUUCGUAGAUAUUCGGAAGAACACCAGUGGCGAAGGCGACUAACUGGACAAGUACUGACGCUGAGGUACGAAAGCGUGGGGAGCAAACAGGAUUAGAUACCCUGGUAGUCCACGCCGUAAACGAUGAUAACUAGUUGUUCGGGCACUUGGUGCCUGAGUGACGCAGCUAACGCAUUAAGUUAUCCGCCUGGGGAGUACGGUCGCAAGAUUAAAACUCAAAUGAAUUGACGG
RNAcentral lists this ribosomal RNA (561 nucleotides) under uncultured bacterium. RNAcentral describes it as "bacterial SSU rRNA". It matches the Rfam family "Bacterial small subunit ribosomal RNA", at positions 338 to 916 of the family's 1533-position model. The record is from RNAcentral.